CAGAGUUUGAUCCCGGCUCAGGACGAACGCUGGCGGUGUACUUAACACAUGCAAGUCGAACGUGAUUUNUAUGGAAAGCCCUGCGGGGACGGAAAUGAAAUGAAAGUGGCGAACGGGUGAAUAACACGUCACCACCCUACCUUACACAGUGGGAUAGCCGCUGGAAACGACGAUUAAUACCGCAUCAGCACCACUAAGUACACAUGUUGGGAGGUAAAAGAUUUAUCGGUGUAAGCAUGGGCUCGCCUCUGAUUAGCUAGNUGGAAGGGUAAAGGCCUACCAAGGCGCACGAUCAGUUGCCGGUCUGAGAGGAUGAACGGCCACAU
This 326-nucleotide ribosomal RNA is filed under the name Parvimonas micra. RNAcentral describes it as "bacterial SSU rRNA". It matches the Rfam family "Bacterial small subunit ribosomal RNA", at positions 8 to 313 of the family's 1533-position model. The record is from RNAcentral. Lineage: Bacteria; Bacillati; Bacillota; Tissierellia; Tissierellales; Peptoniphilaceae.